RNAcentral lists this non-coding RNA (21 nucleotides) under Caenorhabditis elegans. Lineage: Eukaryota; Metazoa; Nematoda; Chromadorea; Rhabditida; Rhabditidae. The record is from RNAcentral.
UGCUGCAGCCUCUAAUAGUCU